CCUACGGGUGGCAGCAGUGGGGAAUAUUGCGCAAUGGGCGAAAGCCUGACGCAGCGACGCCGCGUGAGGGAUGACGGUCUUCGGAUCGUAAACCUCUGUCAGCAGGGAAGAACGGUCACUUUCCUAAUCAUCUCUGAAUUGACGGUACCUGCAAAGGAAGGACCGCCUAACUCCGGGCAAGGAGGUGCGGUAAUACGGAGGGUGGGGGCGUUGAUCGGAAGUACUGGGCGGAAGGGGCGCGUAGGCGGUAUGUCAAGUCAAGGGUGAAAGCCCCGCGCUCAACGUGGGAACUGCCUUUGAGACUGGCAGACUGGAGUGUGUUAGAGGAGAGUGGAAUUCCAGGUGUAGGGGUGAAAUCCGUAGAUAUC
This 368-nucleotide ribosomal RNA is filed under the name uncultured bacterium. RNAcentral's name for it is "partial 16S ribosomal RNA". It matches the Rfam family "Bacterial small subunit ribosomal RNA", at positions 338 to 698 of the family's 1533-position model. The record is from RNAcentral.